UACAGAGGGGGCAAGCGUUAUUCGGAAUUAUUGGGCGUAAAGGGCGCGUAGGCGGCUUUGCAAGUGACGGGUGAAAGCCCUCGGCUUAACCGAGGAACUGCCUGUCAGACUGUGAGGCUUGAGACCGGGAGAGGUGAGUGGAAUUCCCAGUGUAGCGGUGAAAUGCGUAGAUAUUGGGAGGAACAUCGGUGGCGAAGGCGGCUACCUGGACGGGUACUGACGCUGAGGCGCGAAAGCUAGGGGAGCAAACAGG
This 253-nucleotide ribosomal RNA is filed under the name uncultured bacterium. RNAcentral's name for it is "partial 16S ribosomal RNA". It matches the Rfam family "Bacterial small subunit ribosomal RNA", at positions 524 to 776 of the family's 1533-position model. The record is from RNAcentral.